UACGGGGGGGGCAAGCGUUGUUCGGAAUUACUGGGCGUAAAGGGCGCGUAGGCGGCUCGCUAAGUCGGGUGUGAAAACUCUGGGCUCAACCCAGAGCCUGCACUCGAAACUGACGAGCUAGAGUUCUGGAGGGGAAAGCGGAAUUCCUGGUGUAGCAGUGAAAUGCGUAGAUAUCAGGAGGAACACCGGUGGCGAAGGCGGCUUUCUGGACAGAAACUGACGCUGAGGCGCGAAAGCUAGGGGAGCAAACAGG
This 253-nucleotide ribosomal RNA is filed under the name uncultured bacterium. RNAcentral's name for it is "partial 16S ribosomal RNA". It matches the Rfam family "Bacterial small subunit ribosomal RNA", at positions 524 to 776 of the family's 1533-position model. The record is from RNAcentral.